AUAGGCUUCGGCUUAGCGUCUUAGCAGGCGAUUCCUCCACGGCGCUCGAAGCGCGUCGUGGUAUUUCGCGUAUUGUUAUUUCAACACGAGCGGGGUCAAAUCCUUUGCAGACGACUUAGCUGUGCGAAACGGUCCUGUAAGCAGUAGAGUAGCCUUGUUGUUACGAUCUGCUGAGGGUAAGCCGUCCUUCGCCUCGAUUUCCCCAACGA
Molecule: ribosomal RNA, 209 nt
Filed under: Fusarium sporotrichioides
Lineage: Eukaryota; Fungi; Ascomycota; Sordariomycetes; Hypocreales; Nectriaceae
Description: partial 28S ribosomal RNA
Rfam family: Eukaryotic large subunit ribosomal RNA
Source: RNAcentral